ACAGGAAGAAGCUUGCAGUACAAAGAUAAAAAUCUAAAGUGGUUGCUGUGGAGGACAGGGGUCAGUGGUGGAAGUGAGACCGAAAUAGACUCUGAAGUAAUAUCUGGACUUUGAAAUUCUUGCCUGUUCACUCUGGCUGGUCAUAUGCAGAAAACCGAAACUAGACCCCUUUCUGACACCUUAUAUAAAAAUUAACUCAAGAUGCAUUAAAGAUUUAAACGUGAGACCUAAAACCAGAAAAAUCCUAGAAGAAAACCUAGGCAAUACCAUUGAGGACAUAAGCAUGGGCAAAGACUUUCAUGACUAAAACACCAAAAGGAAUGGCAACAAAAGCCAAAAUUGACAAAAGGUUUCCUUAACGACAACAAAAAAGGGAGUAAUCCUACCUACUGUAAGAGUCAUGACUCUUGAUUGCAGCUGACAGAAACUCAUGACAGCCUGGUUUAGAUAAAGGGGGAGAGAAGGACUGGAAGAAUCUUGGAGUUGGGAAUGUCGCACGUAAUUGAAGGAAGAACAAGAAAACUAUAAUUCUUCCCCUGGAGGCUGGAGUUUCCAGGAUGUCAAAAUUACCUCUGCUUGGGUGAGCUAUUUCAAGCAGCUGGGAUACCUGUGUCACUCCUGCUGUCUGCCAGUGACUGCCCAGCUUCUCAGAUGACCAAGAUGGUGCUGCAGAUGGUGCUGAGGAUGGAGAACCCACCAAGCCC
RNAcentral lists this long non-coding RNA (704 nucleotides) under Pan troglodytes (chimpanzee). Its description in RNAcentral is "lincRNA". The record is from RNAcentral. Lineage: Eukaryota; Metazoa; Chordata; Mammalia; Primates; Hominidae.